AACGAACGCUGGCGGCAGGCCUAACACAUGCAAGUCGAACGGGAUCUUCGGAUCUAGUGGCGGACGGGUGAGUAACGCGUGGGAACGUGCCCUUUGGUUCGGAAUAGCCCCGGGAAACUGGGAGUAAUACCGGAUAAGCCCUACGGGGGAAAGAUUUAUCGCCAAAGGAUCGGCCCGCGUUGGAUUAGGUAGUUGGUGAGGUAAUGGCUCACCAAGCCGACGAUGCAUAGCUGGUUUGAGAGGAUGAUCAGCCACACUGGGACUGAGACACGGACCAGACUCCUACGGGAGGCAGCAGUGGGGAAUCUUAAACAAUGGGGGAAACCCUGAUCUAGCCAUGCCGCGUGAUCGAUGAAGGCCUUAGGGUUGUAAAGAUCUUUCAGUGGGGAAGAUAAUGACUGUACCCACAGAAGAAGCCCCGGCUAACUCCGUGCCAGCAGCCGCGGUAA
Molecule: ribosomal RNA, 449 nt
Filed under: uncultured bacterium
Lineage: Bacteria
Description: partial 16S ribosomal RNA
Rfam family: Bacterial small subunit ribosomal RNA
Source: RNAcentral